UUCCAGACUCCUACGGGAGGCAGCAGUGAGGAAUAUUGGUCAAUGGACGAGAGUCUGAACCAGCCAAGUAGCGUGAAGGAUGACUGCCCUAUGGGUUGUAAACUUCUUUUAUAUGGGAAUAAAACAGGGUAUGCAUACCCUCUUGUAUGUACCAUAUGAAUAAGGAUCGGCUAACUCCGUGCCAGCAGCCGCGGUAAUACGGAGGAUGCGAGCGUUAUCCGGAUUUAUUGGGUUUAAAGGGUGCGUAGGCGGAAUAUCAAGUCAGCGGUAAAAAUUCGGGGCUCAACCCCGUCGUGCCGUUGAAACUGAUGUUCUUGAGUGGGCGAGAAGUAUGCGGAAUGCGUGGUGUAGCGGUGAAAUGCAUAGAUAUCGCGCAGAACUCCGAUUGCGAAGGCAGCAUGCCGGCUCCACACUGACGCUGAGGCACGAAAGCGUGGGUAUCGAACAGGAUUAGAUACCCUUGUA
RNAcentral lists this ribosomal RNA (465 nucleotides) under uncultured bacterium. RNAcentral describes it as "bacterial SSU rRNA". It matches the Rfam family "Bacterial small subunit ribosomal RNA", at positions 329 to 792 of the family's 1533-position model. The record is from RNAcentral.